Hyaena hyaena (striped hyena) is the source of this 368-nucleotide long non-coding RNA. RefSeq lists it as uncharacterized. NCBI's taxonomy places the organism in Eukaryota, Metazoa, Chordata, Mammalia, Carnivora, Hyaenidae. The record is from RefSeq and is a predicted model, not a curated record. The transcript has 2 exons.
UCCGGGUGCACACUCACGGUGUCCCGACACUCCCGAGCGGUGAACAAACGCACCCCAUGUUCACAUGAGGAAGAAGCACAGAGGUGACGAAGGAGCCCAGCUCUAGACUUCGAGAUAUGUGAAAGAGGAGAAACCAAUAAAUCGCUCUCUGGUCUGUGCAGCUGAAGUACGGCUUUCAACACGCUGUCAUUUAAUCCUUCCUCCCCAGCUCCAAAGAGGGUUUAGAGUUCAAGAAGUCAAGGUGAACCGGGAAGGACUGGCCAAGGUCACACGCCAAGGCCACAUGCAACGCUGGCCGUGGGGCUCCAAUCCUAAGGAGUCAGCAUCUCCUGCUCCACUUUGCCAAAUAAAAAGAACUCCACACAGAA